RNAcentral lists this ribosomal RNA (497 nucleotides) under uncultured bacterium. Its description in RNAcentral is "partial 16S ribosomal RNA". It matches the Rfam family "Bacterial small subunit ribosomal RNA", at positions 28 to 507 of the family's 1533-position model. The record is from RNAcentral.
GAUGAACGCUGGCGGCGUGCCUAAUACAUGCAAGUCGAGCGAACAGACGAGGAGCUUGCUCCUCCGACGUUAGCGGCGGACGGGUGAGUAACACGUGGAUAACCUACCUAUAAGACUGGGAUAACUUCGGGAAACCGGAGCUAAUACCGGAUAAUAUAUUGAACCGCAUGGUUCAAUAGUGAAAGACGCUUUUGCUGUCACUUAUAGAUGGAUCCGCGCCGCAUUAGCUAGUUGGUAAGGUAACGGCUUACCAAGGCAACGAUGCGUAGCCGACCUGAGAGGGUGAUCGGCCACACUGGAACUGAGACACGGUCCAGACUCCUACGGGGGGCAGCAGUAGGGAAUCUUCCGCAAUGGGCGAAAGCCUGACGGGGCAACGCCGCGUGAGUGAUGAAGGUCUUCGGAUCGUAAAACUCUGUUAUUAGGAAAGAACAAAUGUGUAAGUAACUAUGCACGUCUUGACGGUACCUAAUCAGAAAGCCACGGCUAACUACGUG